Non-coding RNA from Paramuricea clavata, 1292 nucleotides. Lineage: Eukaryota; Metazoa; Cnidaria; Anthozoa; Malacalcyonacea; Plexauridae. The record is from the annotation of a GenBank genome assembly.
GUCAAUUCAGGGUUGCCCAUGCAACUUGGUUAGCACAGCUAGCUCUUCAAGUUGGAGGUCCAAUUCUUAGGAUUCUGCAAAUUAAUUCUAGAAAACUGGCUUUGGUUUGGGCUAAGCAAAAAUCAUCACACUGUUUAUCAUGCUGAUUUGGUUGUUUAACAGUUAAAGUCCAGGCUGCAUGUUUUUUUGUCCUGCAUAUGGCAGAUGGGACAGUCUGGUUUUCAAGUGUUUAUGUGGGGAAUUAAUAUUAAUCAGGACUGGCUUCUGAGUGAAGGUCUUGCCUGCUUUAUGUGAGAGCAGGCUCUAUGCAAGAUUCCAAUUGCUACACAGCAUGAUCUCAGUGCUCUUCCUCUGAAACAAUGCUUGGUUGCGAUAUCAUCCAGCAAGUACAAAAAUGUACUACCACGGUCAAGGAUCAUUUGGCAUGUUCAUCGACUAUGUUAACCCAUUGAGUGGCGCCAUGCACUGUCCCCUGACAAGUAAAAUUGUCUGGUGUUAGACAGAGUAAACUAACAAAGUAGGGCACAUCUGGAUGCAUUGGGCCAUUCCAUUUAAUGUAUACACCCCCCUAUGGACGAGUUCAAUAAAAUUUGAACCCCUAAGAAAAAAAGAUCAAAGUGCUGACACCCCCCCCCCCCAGAAAUUAAGAAAUUUUUGCCUUAUCCCUCAGAAAAAGUGCAAAGAUCAAAGGAUGCCGAUGCACACAACCCCUCAGAAACGGCUUUUUCAACCCCCUCAGAAAUUCUAGUCCAUCGGGGGGGGGGGGAGGGUGUAUAUUAAAUGGAUGGCCCAUUGCCACUUAAAGGGUUAAAAACGUAAAUACCACAGCACAACACUUGUACAUAUACAUAUACAAGUAAUACAACAGCAAUCCUUUUAUAUAUUUAAUAGUCAUAUUUACAUAUUGGUGAAAUAUCAAUGUCCAUAUAUUAGGGAUGUCCAUGAACUUGUCCCUAGUUUGAAGCUAAUGUAUUCAUAUCUUUUGUAUAAGUUGUCCCUCUACAAACCAACUUUUAGUCAUUAUACAAGAGUUGAAUUUGCAUUCAUUUGCUUCGCAAUUCGCAACAAACUGAACAAAGUACUAUUCCAUAAACCUGUGCAAUGAUCGAGCGUCUUUGGCGACAUAUCCGUGUCUUUUAAACGUCUCAUACGAACAAAUCUCACUGAGUUUUUUCUACAGAAAGUAUUGAUCCAUUUGAUCGAUCGCCGUACUUUGAGAGAAGCUUCAAGUGCAAAAUUCACAAAGAAGAUUGAAGAAUUUCGGAGAUAAAAACUGUUUGUCUUCGAAUUUC